AGGAAGCAGGCAGGGAUAGGCUGGCAGAAGUCAGUAGCAUGAGAGACAACAGCAGGUGCUUUACUUAGCUAAGUUCAAAAAGCAAGAUCUUUAUACAAGUAUAUGAAGAAAGACUGAAUGAAGACAAAGCAAGCAGAAACAAGCAAGUUAAAAAAUGGGACUGAUUAAAUGAAGACGUCUGUUGAUGAACUUGUUUUUUAUGGGGUUAUACAAGUCCAAGUUUGACAAAAAGAAGGCUACAAAAUUAAUUUUUUUGAACAGACACCAUAGAAGACACCUGGAAAAUAAUUAGAAUAACAAUAAAAGGCACUGAAACCAAA
Pezoporus occidentalis (night parrot) is the source of this 320-nucleotide long non-coding RNA. RefSeq lists it as uncharacterized. Lineage: Eukaryota; Metazoa; Chordata; Aves; Psittaciformes; Psittacidae. The transcript is spliced from 2 exons. The record is from RefSeq and is a predicted model, not a curated record.